GAGUGAACGCUGGUGGUAGGCCUAACACAUGCAAGUCGAACGGCAGCACAGUAAGAGCUUGCUCUUACGGGUGGCGAGUGGCGGACGGGUGAGGAAUACAUCGGAAUCUACUUUUUCGGGGGGGAUAACGUAGGGAAACUUACGCUAAUACCGCAUACGACCUACGGGUGAAAGCAGGGGAUCUUCGGACCUUGCGCGAUUGAAUGAGCCGAUGUCGGAUUAGCUAGUUGGCGGGGUAAAGGCCCACCAAGGCGACGAUCCGUAGCUGGUCUGAGAGGAUGAUCAGCCACACUGGAACUGAGACACGGUCCAGACUCCUACGGGAGGCAGCAGUGGGGAAUAUUGGACAAUGGGCGCAAGCCUGAUCCAGCCAUACCGCGUGGGUGAAGAAGGCCUUCGGGUUGUAAAGCCCUUUUGUUGGGAAAGAAAAGCAGCAGGUUAAUACCCCGCUGUUCUGACGGUACCCAAAGAAUAAGCACCGGCUAACUUCGUG
This 493-nucleotide ribosomal RNA is filed under the name uncultured bacterium. RNAcentral's name for it is "partial 16S ribosomal RNA". It matches the Rfam family "Bacterial small subunit ribosomal RNA", at positions 27 to 507 of the family's 1533-position model. The record is from RNAcentral.